This 775-nucleotide long non-coding RNA is filed under the name Marmota monax (woodchuck). Lineage: Eukaryota; Metazoa; Chordata; Mammalia; Rodentia; Sciuridae. The record is from RNAcentral.
GAUCUUAGUACUUUCCAAGAUAAAAAAAAGGAGGAACAAAGGGGGUUACAGACAUAUCUGCAGCUAAAAACAGCUGUUUGCAGUGUCAGGCGAAUUCUGUGUGUUUCAUUCACUCCUGUUUGUAUUUAGCAGAUGAACCUGGCCUUUACUUAUGACGCACAUUUUCCACCAGGCCAGGCAUGCCACCCCCGCCCCCAGACUCCUGCAUGGUUUAACCUGGGAGAUGUGUGAGGCAGUCUGCCCAAGCGCAGGCUCUGUAAGGCAGCUGGGUUCUGUCCCAGGUGGGUUCUCGCCUCUGCUAAGUAACAGAUGAGAUGUGUCUGCUGCUGCUUGCUCCUCCCCAAACCUCUCCUCAUCCUAGGGCACGACCAAUGGCCAAGAGAGAGGACCGAGACAAGCAGGCACAUUUAGGCACUGGUGAACUCACCAGACAGAUUGUCAUCCAGAGGGCUCUGGCAGCCUGUGUCCUCCCCACUCCUUAAGGACCACUAUCCCUGGGUGGUAUGGCAGGAGCAAAGCCAGGUUCUAAACUGGGGGAAGGGAACUCAGGGGUGACCAGGCCAGAGGAGGAGGCCUGAGGCUAUGAUUAGGAGCAAAUGCCUUAAAAGAUGCUACCUUCCCUGGGUAUCUGUUCUUUGACCACUGCUAAGGAUUGAAUUGUGUCCCUCCAAAAUCCAUAUGUAGAACGCAAACCCCAGUACGACUAUUUGGAGACAUGACCUGCGAGGCAGUAAUAAAGGCUAAAUGAGGUCCUAAGGGUGGACCCUGAUCCAAC